Molecule: ribosomal RNA, 443 nt
Filed under: uncultured bacterium
Lineage: Bacteria
Description: partial 16S ribosomal RNA
Rfam family: Bacterial small subunit ribosomal RNA
Source: RNAcentral
CCUACGGGAGGCUGCAGUGGGGAAUCUUGGGCAAUGGGCGCAAGCCUGACCCAGCAACGCCGCGUGAGGGAAGAAGGCUUUCGGGUUGUAAACUUCUUUUCUCAGUGACGAAGCAAGUGACGGUACCUGAGGAAUCAGCCACGGUUAACUACGUGCCAGCCGCCGCGGUAAUACGUAGGUGGCAAGCGUUCGCCGGAUUUCCUGGGUGUAAAGGGCGUGUAGGCGGGACUGCAAGUCAGAUGUGAAAACCAUGGGCUAAACCUGUAGCCUGCAUUUGAAACUGUAGUUCUUGAGUACUGGAGAGGCAGACGGAAUUCCUAGUGUAGCGGUGAAAUGCGUAGAUAUGAGGAGGAACACCAGUGGCGAAGGCGGUCUGCUGGACAGCAACUGACGCUGAGGCGCGAAAGCGUGGGGAGCAAACAGGAUUAGAUACCCCAGUAGUC